AUUGAACGCUGGCGGCAUGCCUUACACAUGCAAGUCGAACGGCAGCACGGGAGCAAUCCUGGUGGCGAGUGGCGAACGGGUGAGUAAUAUAUCGGAAUCUGCCUCGUUGUGGGGGAUAACGUAGGGAAACUUACGCUAAUACCGCAUACGACCUACGGGUGAAAGUGGGGGACCUUCGGGCCGUCACGCGAUGAGAUGAGCCGAUGCCGGAUUAGCUAGUUGGCGGGGUAAAGGGCUCACCAAGCCAACGAUCUGUAGCUGGUCUGAGAGGACGACCAGCCACACUGGAACUGAGACACGGUCCAGACUCCUACGGGAGGCAGCAGUGGGGAAGUUUUUGGACAAUGGGCGCAAGCCUGAUCCAGCCAUUCCGCGUGCAGGAUGAAGGCCUUC
RNAcentral lists this ribosomal RNA (393 nucleotides) under uncultured bacterium. RNAcentral's name for it is "bacterial SSU rRNA". It matches the Rfam family "Bacterial small subunit ribosomal RNA", at positions 30 to 419 of the family's 1533-position model. The record is from RNAcentral.